Molecule: long non-coding RNA, 3577 nt
Filed under: Drosophila guanche
Lineage: Eukaryota; Metazoa; Arthropoda; Insecta; Diptera; Drosophilidae
Source: RNAcentral
GGGACAUACAUAUAUACAAAAAGUGGAAAUAUAUGUCUUAAACAUUAAUCAGGACAUCAGGUUUGUAAUUUUUUUUCAGAUAUGGCGAGCAUAAUAUUAAUAGCAUGCCUUGCUAUAUUGGGACUAAUCAUUGCAAUAGCUUUGUUUCUCGCGGGUGGGUAUUUGUGGUGGAGACACAAAAGAUCGCAGUUGCAGUUUAUUGAGCCCAACGAAGACGAAGAGUCUAGUAGUUACAGUCUAAGGUGAGUCGUAUCACAAAAAUUGUUUUAUUUUAGUUUUUUUAGAGGUGUUCUACAAAUGCCAACUACAUACAUACAUAUGUACGUACAUAUUUAUUUACAUAUGAAGAAUAUUUAGUUCGCUUUUAUUAGCUAUAUUAUUAGUUUUUAUACUCGGUACUCGAAGAGUAAAUAUAUAAAUAUAUAUAUAUAGGUAUAUAUAAAUAUAUACCCUAUAUUGUAAUUGUGGGAAAAAGUGGAUGCAUGUAACGCACAGAAGGAAACGUUUCCGACCAUAUAAAGUAUAAAUACAUAUGUUCUUGAUCAGCAUCAAUAGCCUAGUCGAUUUAGACAUGUCUGUCUGUCCGUCCAAAACCAAGUUUAGCUCAAAGCGCGUGAGAAGAGAUGUAUGUAUGUAGAAAAUCUUCAAAAUUGUGGUUACCUCAGAUUUUCGAACUUUAGGUGGACGGAAGGGGGCGGGGCGAAAUUUUGAAAUAGACUAGUAACAGUGUGAGCCUUCAGACAUCUGGAUGCAAAACUUGGUUGCCUUAUCUCUUAUGGUAUCUGAGUACUAGGCGCUCAUAAGGACGGACAGACAGACGUGGCCAUAGCGACUCGCCUAUUGAUGCUGAUCAAGAAAAUAUAUACUUUAUACACGUAACAUACAUAUGUUAAUCCACUCUGGACCACAAAUACAAUAAACCCUGUUUACUCUUCGAAUACCGGGUAUAAAAGCAGUAAAGUACAGAUAUACUGACUGAGUACCGGGUAUAAAAGUUUUGACGCGUAAGAAGCGUCUCACUCGUUCCUACUCGUUUUUGUUAUAGUUUGCAAAGUAAAUAUUUGUGAUAGACAAAUUUUAUGAUGUUCAAAACCAAUUAAUAGAACCGUUUACUAACAAUACUUUAUUUGUUAUUGCAUGUACAGAGCGGCUCAGGACAUUGAUUCCGGAAAUCCGCCUAGUAAACCACCAGUGCCGGUUGCACCAGCGAUUACAACUCCUCUUCAAAAUAACAUCAAUCGAAAAUUGAAUGGAUUCUUAAGCCUUAGGACUCCUCUAAUUGGGUAUGUCUCUGUUUGUGUGUUCAUUGUUUCCAUCGAUUUCAAAUACCGAAUAGAUUAAACUACUCGACAAAAUCAAUCUUUUAAAAAAUGUACCUGUUGGAGGAUGGCGCUCCCAACUUUCAGAGUAUUUUUGGCUUCAGACUCUAAAAAGAAGUUCUUCCAAGGAAAAAUAGUAUUAUCAAACCAUUUCUAAGCCCCAUAUCUUUCAUAAAACGUUUUUCUGGAUCGAAGCCUCAAAAUCGUGUGGAGUAGUGUUAUUAGCGCUUAUAUAUGUUCAUAUAUCUAUUAUUGUAUUAUUGUAUGUUUUAUUCCUACUACUAUCUUCCCAAUGUAUUUACAAAUUCAUAUUUUUUAGUGGCUCGGCACCUACGCAAACCAAAGCACAAAAUGCUUCUACCGGGGGAAAUACAAAUGAUGGUACCUCAAAAGAUUCGGCGGUAAGCAGAAGUCAGACCCUCUCUCUUAUCAUAGUAAUUGUAGAACAGAAAUAACAGAUCAAAUGUCAAAGAACACCACAGGUGUCUCAGUUAUUUUAUUUAUUAUAUACACACUUCUCUCCAUCUUAGAAUAAAAGUAUUUCCAUGACAGACAUGUACCUGGACAGCACGGAUUCCAGUGAAAAUGUCGGGCAAAUACAUUUCUCUUUGGAAUAUGAUUUUCAAAAUACAACAUUAAUUUUAAAAGUUCUUCAAGGAAAAGAACUGCCAGCUAAAGAUUUAAGUGGGACUUCGGACCCUUAUGUUCGUGUAACCUUGCUUCCAGACAAGAAACACCGAUUGGAAACAAAAAUAAAACGUAGAACAUUAAAUCCGCGAUGGAACGAAACAUUUUAUUUUGAGGGAUUUCCGAUACAAAAACUUCAGUCACGUGUGAGAAUAAUUAAUAUUAUCUUUCUCUACAUGAUCUUUAAAUACUUAUAAUAAUAAAUCGACAUUAACAUAAAAUUGAUACAGGUAUUACACUUACAUGUUUUUGAUUACGACCGGUUCUCACGGGAUGACUCUAUAGGAGAAGUAUUUCUUCCUUUAUGUCAGGUAAACAUUUUAAAUUCAUCUGAACCAAAACUCUGUAUACUUUGUAUUUUAUUUUGUUUAUAAAGCUCUCACAUACCGUUUACAUUUAUGUUACUACUUACAUGUUUCCACAAAACAGUUUUUAAAAUUUCUAUUUCAAAAUUCAAUUAAAAUAUUUAAACCAAAUUGUAACAGGCUAAGCUUUAAAUCAUAAAUAUUCAUGUAUAUGUAUAUAUGUAUGUACAUACAUGUACUUAAACACUUUGUCUUCUUAGGUUGAUUUUGCCGGUAAGCAGUCAUUUUGGAAGGCAUUAAAACCACCAGCAAAGGAUAAAUGUGGGGAACUUCUGUCAUCGCUUUGCUAUCACCCCUCAAACUCUAUUUUGACGUUGACAUUAAUCAAAGCGAGGAACCUAAAAGCUAAGGAUAUAAACGGAAAAUCAGGAAAGAAUUAUUCUCGCGCAAGAUUGAAAAUAAUAUAAAAUAAACUUUGUCUUUUAAUUAAAUUCCUCUUUUGACGUGUUCGGUAACCAAUGUUUUUUUUCAAUUAACUUUAGAUCCCUAUGUUAAAGUUUGGCUACAGUUUGGAGACAAGCGAGUGGAGAAAAGAAAAACACCUAUAUUUACAUGUACAUUAAAUCCAGUGUUUAAUGAAUCAUUCAGUUUCAACGUUCCAUGGGAAAAAAUAAGAGAAUGCUCUUUGGAUGUUAUGGUGAUGGAUUUUGAUAACAUUGGCCGGAAUGAGUUAAUAGGACGAAUCCUAUUAGCCGGUAAGAGCAAUUGUCAAUUAAUUGACAACACAAAAUAUUAAAAUAUUUUUGUUUUUCCACAAAUAUUGUACAUAUGUAUUUAGGAAAGAAUGGUUCUGGGGCGUCGGAAACUAAACAUUGGCAGGACAUGAUCUCAAAGCCCAGACAAACAGUAGUACAAUGGCAUCGCUUAAAACCUGAAUAAAUUUAAGAUUUAACAAUCAAUUUCAGCAUAUGAUAACAACAGUGUAUGUAUUUAUAUAUAUGUAUGUACCACUAUCAUUCCAUAUGCAAAAACACACACAAUUAGCAGUAUUUAAUACAGUCUGCAGAAAACAUAAGUAUAAUCGCAUUGCGCAUUGGUUGGAUAUUUGAAAUUUAAUACCGAGCGGGAUACUACAGAAAAUUUAUCUAACUUCACUAAUUGCUCUAAGGUUUCAAAGCCUCAAAAACCUCUAUGAGCAAUACUCAGUUUUAUAAUUACUUGUCUAACUUUAUAUAUGUAUGUACACGGGUUAUAGUAUUUGUAUUU